Sorghum bicolor (sorghum) is the source of this 126-nucleotide microRNA precursor. Lineage: Eukaryota; Viridiplantae; Streptophyta; Magnoliopsida; Poales; Poaceae. The record is from Rfam.
CAGGCAAGAGCCACUCAGGCUAGCCAAGGUGACCGCCCACAAACCCAACUGAACUGGCCAUGCAACCGGAACUCGCAAGGCCGUGUAGGCAAGUCAUCCUUGGCUACCAAAGGCAGGCUCUCGCCA